This 253-nucleotide ribosomal RNA is filed under the name uncultured bacterium. RNAcentral's name for it is "partial 16S ribosomal RNA". It matches the Rfam family "Bacterial small subunit ribosomal RNA", at positions 524 to 776 of the family's 1533-position model. The record is from RNAcentral.
UACGUAGGGUGCAAGCGUUAAUCGGAAUUACUGGGCGUAAAGCGUGCGUAGGCGGUUUGUUAAGUCUGUUGUGAAAUCCCCGGGCUCAACCUGGGAAUGGCAAUGGAUACUGGCAAGCUAGAGUGUGUCAGAGGAUGGUGGAAUUCCCGGUGUAGCGGUGAAAUGCGUAGAGAUCGGGAGGAACAUCAGUGGCGAAGGCGGCCAUCUGGGACAACACUGACGCUGAGGCACGAAAGCGUGGGGAGCAAACAGG